This 320-nucleotide ribosomal RNA is filed under the name uncultured eukaryote. RNAcentral's name for it is "partial 18S ribosomal RNA". It matches the Rfam family "Eukaryotic small subunit ribosomal RNA", at positions 1470 to 1796 of the family's 1831-position model. The record is from RNAcentral.
CCCCUAGAUGUUCUGGGCCGCACGCGCGCUACACUGAACAGUUCAACAAGUCUUAACCUUGGCCGAUAGGUCUGGGUAAUCUUUGAACGCUGUUCGUGAUUGGGAUAGACCUUUGCAAUUACGGGUCUUCAACGAGGAAUUCCUAGUAAACGCAAGUCAUCAGCUUGCAUUGAUUACGUCCCUGCCCUUUGUACACACCGCCCGUCGCACCUACCGAUUGAAUGGUCCGGUGAAAUCUCGGGACGGCGGCUUGGUCGCUUGCGUCCGACUGCUGAAACUUGAUUAAACCAUAUCAUUUAGAGGAAGGUGAAGUCGUANCA